This 343-nucleotide unclassified non-coding RNA is filed under the name soil metagenome. RNAcentral's name for it is "partial contains 5.8S ribosomal RNA, internal transcribed spacer 2, and large subunit ribosomal RNA". The stretch from base 1 to 120 matches the Rfam family "5.8S ribosomal RNA", at positions 35 to 154 of the family's 154-position model. The record is from RNAcentral.
GAUGAAGAACGUAGCGAAACGCGAUAAGUAAUGUGAAUUGCAGAAUCCAGUGAAUCAUCGAAUCUUUGAACGCACAUUGCGCCCGCCAGCAUUCUGGCGGCCAUGCCUGUUCGAGCGUCAUUUCAACCCUCGACCUCCCCUUGGGGAGGUCGGCGUUGGGGACCGGCAGCACACCGCCGGCCCUGAAAUGGAGUGGCGGCCCGUCCGCGGCGACCUCUGCGCAGUAAUACAGCUCGCACCGGGACCCCGACGCGGCCACGCCGUAAAACACCCAACUUCUGAACGUUGACCUCGAAUCAGGUAGGACUACCCGCUGAACUUAAGCAUAUCAAUAAGCGGAGGA